CGGCCAAUGGGAGCUUCAGGGGAGGUACCUGGAGGCGUGGCAAGGGCAGCGUGCAGAGCCCUGUGCUGCCCCGCCCCUCCCCCGGGGCUGCGGGGAGCGGCCCGGCAUGGGGCCCUGGCGGGCAGGGAGCGCGCCGCUGCGGGAAACUUCUCAAGCUCCGCUAUAUGAUGAGGACAGAGUGAAUGUAUCGCAUAACACGUCAAGCGUUAUGGAGUGUUAGAAGUCACUGUGGGAAGAAUCGGCAGAGAGGAGGGAUUCCACUGCAUCCUUCUGUUUUAUCCUCAGUAGUUGCAGCAGCCGGAGCUGAAAGGAAAUAGGGAAUGGUUGAAAUACAAAGGGAAAAAAUAUAAUUUUCAUUGAAUUGAUCUCAAUAAAUUAAAUGAAAAUAUCUCUUCCACA
This is a long non-coding RNA of Trachemys scripta elegans, 399 nucleotides long. RefSeq lists it as uncharacterized. The transcript has 2 exons. NCBI's taxonomy places the organism in Eukaryota, Metazoa, Chordata, Testudines, Emydidae. The record is from RefSeq and is a predicted model, not a curated record.